RNAcentral lists this ribosomal RNA (393 nucleotides) under uncultured bacterium. RNAcentral describes it as "partial 16S ribosomal RNA". It matches the Rfam family "Bacterial small subunit ribosomal RNA", at positions 523 to 918 of the family's 1533-position model. The record is from RNAcentral.
AUACGGAGGAUGCGAGCGUUAUCCGGAUUUAUUGGGUUUAAAGGGUGCGUAGGCUGUGCGUUAAGUCAGGGGUGAUAUGCCGUCGCUCAACGACGGAGCUGCCCUUGAUACUGGCGUGCUGGAGUACGGAUGCCGUUGGAGGAAUGAGUGGUGUAGCGGUGAAAUGCUUAGAUAUCACUCAGAACACCGAUUGCGAAGGCAUCUGACGAAUCCGUCACUGACGCUGAGGCACGAAAGCGUGGGGAUAGAACAGGAUUAGAUACCCUGGUAUUCCACGCCGUAAACGAUGAUGACUAACCGUCGGCGAUAGACAGCCGGUGGCCAAGCGAAAGCGAUAAGUCAUCCACCUGGGGAGUACGGCGGCAACGAUGAAACUCAAAGGAAUUGACGGGG